UACGGGAGGCAGCAGUGGGGAAUAUUGCACAAUGGGCGAAAGCCUGAUGCAGCUAUGCCGCGUGUAUGAAGAAGGCCUUAGGGUUGUAAAGUACUUUCAUCGGGGAGGAAAAAACAAAACUAAUAAUUUUAUUUCUUGACGUUACCCGAAAAAGAAGCACCGGCUAACUCCGUGCCAGCAGCCGCGGUAAUACGGAGGGUGCUAGCGUUAAUCAGAAUUACUGGGCGUAAAGAGCACGUAGGUGGUUUUUUUAAGUUCAGAUGUGAAAUCCCUGGGCUUAACCUAGGAACUGCAUUUUGAAACUGAAAUACUAGAGUAUCGUAGAGGGAGGUAGAAUUCUAGGUGUAGCGGUGAAAUGCGUAGAUAUCUGGAGGAAUACCUGUGGCGAAAGCGGCCUCCUAAACGAAUACUGACACUGAGGGUGCGAAAGCGUGGGGAGCAAAACAGGGAUUAGAUACC
Molecule: ribosomal RNA, 459 nt
Filed under: uncultured bacterium
Lineage: Bacteria
Description: bacterial SSU rRNA
Rfam family: Bacterial small subunit ribosomal RNA
Source: RNAcentral